UCCAUCCUGAGAGCACAAGCAGGGUUCCCAUGGUGAUGUUCCGUGAGCUUGCUUCUGGAAGUGAAUAAUGACAUGGAAUGGAGGGGUCCGACUUUCUGCCUCAAAGCGUAUGAAGGUAUUACGUGACUGUUUCCUGCACUCAGACUGUGGAAAAGAGGGACCUUUUGGUGGACUGCAGAGCUAGAAGGGAAAGUGGAUAUUAAGGGCUCAAAGGGAAAAAUUCUCUCCUUUUCCUUCCUGUUGGCCAUGCCCUCAGCAAUCAGUACAGGGCCUAAGGAGCCUUUGAAAGGGCAUAGCAGCUACCACAAGACCAGGGAUGAGAUUCCAUGAAGAUUGAUGUAUAGUGGAGCUCCUGGGGAGGGGGAACAUCUCAGAGGAACAGCCUGUGGGAGCCAGCCCUGCAGUCUGUGGACUUGGCAGCCAAGACAGUGCGUUCUUCAAGCAAGGGAGCAAUUCCAUCCACUGACUCACUCCUAAUAGAAAAAAAGCAAGCCAGCACCUGCGACAGCGAAAAGCACUGACACCUCACACAAUGCCCGAGAAAGGACGUGUAGACAGACUGCACAUCGUCUUCCAGCUGCUGCUGCUUCCCUCCCUGCCAGUCAAUGCGCGGGGGAAGAGAGCCAGGGAUACGCCGUACCGGGAACUCUUCCUGAGGCUUCCCACAAUGCAGCGGUGCCAGGCUUAAACUCUACCCACAGGUCUGCCUCUCGCUCUAUAUACAAUAAAAAGCACCUUGUC
Non-coding RNA from Monodelphis domestica (gray short-tailed opossum), 741 nucleotides. NCBI's taxonomy places the organism in Eukaryota, Metazoa, Chordata, Mammalia, Didelphimorphia, Didelphidae. The record is from RefSeq and is a predicted model, not a curated record.